RNAcentral lists this ribosomal RNA (840 nucleotides) under uncultured bacterium. RNAcentral's name for it is "bacterial SSU rRNA". It matches the Rfam family "Bacterial small subunit ribosomal RNA", at positions 8 to 820 of the family's 1533-position model. The record is from RNAcentral.
AGAGUUUGAUCAUGGCUCAGAACGAACGUUGGCGGCGUGGAUUAGGCAUGCAAGUCGAACGAGAAAGUUUCCUUCGGGAAGCGAGUACAGUGGCGAACGGGAGAGUAACGCGUGGGAAACCUGCCCUUUAGCGGGGGACAACACUCCUAACGGAGUGCUAAUACCGCAUACGAUCCGGAGAUCGCAUGAUCACCGGAGGAAAGAUGGCCUCUACAUGUAAGCUGUCACUAAAGGAUGGUCCCGCGUCCCAUUAGCUUGUUGGUGGGGUAAUGGCCUACCAAGGCGACGAUGGGUAGCCGGCCUGAGAGGGUGUCCGGCCUCACUGGGACUGAGAUACGGCCCAGACUCCUACGGGAGGCAGCAGUCGAGAAGCUUCGGCAAUGGACGAAAGUCUGACCGAGCGACGCCGCGUGAGCGAUGAAGGCCCCAGUGGUCGUAAAGCUCUGUCAGGAGGGAAUAAAUACCCGCGAUUAAUAUCCGCGGGGGCUGAAGGUACCUCCAGAGGAAGCGCCGGCUAACUACGUGCCAGCAGCCGCGGUAAUACGUAGGGCGCAAACGUUGUUCGGAUUUACUGGGUAUAAAGGGUUCGUAGGCGGACCGAUAAGUCAGAGGUGAAAGCCAACGGCUCAACCGUUGAAUUGCCUCUGAUACUGUUGGUCUUGAGUCCGUUAGGGGAUGGUGGAAAUUCCUGGUGUAGCGGUGAAAUGCGUAAAUAUCAGGAGGAACACCGGGUGGCGAAGGCGGCCAUCUGGGACGGUACUGACGCUGAGGAACGAAAGCAUGGGUAUCAAACGGGAUUAGAUACCCCGGUAGUCCAUGCUGUAAACGAUGGGCACUAGU